Molecule: transfer RNA, 72 nt
Filed under: Candidatus Daviesbacteria bacterium
Lineage: Bacteria; Candidatus Daviesiibacteriota
Description: tRNA-His
Rfam family: tRNA
About the family: Transfer RNA (tRNA) molecules are approximately 80 nucleotides in length. Their secondary structure includes four short double-helical elements and three loops (D, anti-codon, and T loops).
Source: RNAcentral
GUGGCUGUAGCUCAGUGGUAGAGCGCUGGUUUGUGGAACCGGAUGUCGCGGGUUCGAAUCCCGUCAGUCACC